This 478-nucleotide ribosomal RNA is filed under the name Prevotella nigrescens. RNAcentral describes it as "bacterial SSU rRNA". It matches the Rfam family "Bacterial small subunit ribosomal RNA", at positions 28 to 494 of the family's 1533-position model. Lineage: Bacteria; Pseudomonadati; Bacteroidota; Bacteroidia; Bacteroidales; Prevotellaceae. The record is from RNAcentral.
GAUGAACGCUGGCUACAGGCUUAACACAUGCAAGUCGUGGGGAAACGGCAUUAUGUGCUUGCACAUUCUGGACGUCGACCGGCGCACGGGUGAGUAUCGCGUAUCCAACCUGCCCCUUACUUGGGGAUACCCCGUUGAAAGACGGCCUAAUACCCGAUGUGUUUCAUUGACGGCAUCCGAUAUGAAACAAAGGUUUUCCGGUAAGGGAUGGGGAUGCGUCUGAUUAGCUAGUUGGCGGGGCAACGGCCCACCAAGGCAACGAUCAGUAGGGGUUCUGAGAGGAAGGUCCCCCACAUUGGAACUGAGACACGGUCCAAACUCCUACGGGAGGCAGCAGUGAGGAAUAUUGGUCAAUGGACGCAAGUCUGAACCAGCCAAGUAGCGUGCAGGAUGACGGCCCUAUGGGUUGUAAACUGCUUUUAUGUGGGAAUAAAGUGGCGCACGUGUGCGCCAUUGCAUGACCUCAUGAAUAAGACCG